UUGGAGGGCAAGUCUGGUGCCAGCAGCCGCGGUAAUUCCAGCUCCAAUAGCGUAUAUUAAAGUUGUUGCAGUUAAAAAGCUCGUAGUUGAAUUUCGGGGUCAGUAGGUUGGUCAUGCCACUGGUAUGUACUGGUCUCACUGAUUCCUCCUUCCUGAUGAGCCGUAAUGCCAUUAAUUUGGUGUUGCGAGGAAUCUGGACUGUUACUUUGAAAAAAUUAGAGUGUUUAAAGCAAGCUAACGCUUGAAUACAUUAGCAUGGAAUAAUGAAAUAGGACGUUCGAUCCUAUUUUGUUGGUUUCUAGGAUUGACGUAAUGAUUAAUAGGGAUAGUUGGGGGCAUUAGUAUUCAAUUGUCAGAGGUGAACUCUUGGAUUUAUUGAAGACUAACUACUGCGAAAGCAUUUGCCAAGGAUGUUUUCAUUAAUCAAGAACGAAAGUUAGGGAAUCGAAGACGAUCAGAUACCGUCGUAGUCUUAACCAUAAACUAUGCCGACUAGGGAUCGGAUGAUGUUAAUUUUUUAAUGACUCAUUCGGCGCCUUACGGGAAACCAAAGUGUUUGGGUUC
This 564-nucleotide ribosomal RNA is filed under the name uncultured Glomeromycotina. Its description in RNAcentral is "SSU rRNA". It matches the Rfam family "Eukaryotic small subunit ribosomal RNA", at positions 548 to 1114 of the family's 1831-position model. Lineage: Eukaryota; Fungi; Glomeromycota. The record is from RNAcentral.